AUGGUGAUUUUUUUAAAGAUAGUUUUUGGGCCUGCUCUGAUUCUAUGUUAUUCUCUGGCGUUUUCUAGUGGGCGGACUUGGAGGCUGCUGGCCUGGGAAUGCCAGUGGGUCAGAGCGUGGCUACAGCACCGUGAAAUGGAGCACCUGCCCCCAGUCCUCUCAGCGUGUGCAGGCCUGGGCCUGUGUGGGGGAACCUGUGGCCCUGUCCUCUCUGCUGAGGCAAUCAAGGGUGGUGUCUGGGAGCACACCUGUCCCCUGGCACCUGCCAGGUGUCUGUCAGACCUCAGCCAUUACUGGGCUGCCUCAGCCCUGCACUCCCCCACUGCUGGAUGUGUGGCAGAUGAGGCACUUCACUUCAGUCUGUGUCUUGAGGCGGUGCCCAGGCCUUCCUGCUGCACCAAGGGCUGAUCAAAGGAGGAGUGAUUUCCCUUUAUACUGCAGUUUCCUAUAGAAGCUGUGAUGUGUUUUACCUGGCAGAGCCUCAUCGAGACAUUGCAAGUUUAGCGUCAGUGCAGUUAUACUUGUUGAAGAGUUGGCUUAUGUACAAGUGUCUGCUGUGUAAGUUACUCUAGUAUUAGAGUACUUCGUCAUGAGUGAAUUUUUUGCUCUUCUAGCUCUUCAGUGUUUAUGAAAUAGACAUGUGGAAUAAAGAUACAGGUAUCUUUUAGCUACA
This 673-nucleotide long non-coding RNA is filed under the name Anser brachyrhynchus (Pink-footed goose). Its description in RNAcentral is "lncRNA (ENSABRG00000020046.1)". Lineage: Eukaryota; Metazoa; Chordata; Aves; Anseriformes; Anatidae. The record is from RNAcentral.